UACGGGGGGGGCAAGCGUUGUUCGGAAUUACUGGGCGUAAAGCGUGCGCAGGCGGUUCGUUAAGUCCGAUGUGAAAGCCCCGAGCUUAACUUGGGAAUGGCAUUGGAAACUGGCGGGCUGGAGUGUGGCAGAGGGGGGUGGAAUUCCACGUGUAGCAGUGAAAUGCGUAGAGAUGUGGAGGAACACCGAUGGCGAAGGCAGCCCCCUGGGCCAACACUGACGCUCAGGCACGAAAGCGUGGGGAGCAAACAGG
RNAcentral lists this ribosomal RNA (253 nucleotides) under uncultured bacterium. Its description in RNAcentral is "partial 16S ribosomal RNA". It matches the Rfam family "Bacterial small subunit ribosomal RNA", at positions 524 to 776 of the family's 1533-position model. The record is from RNAcentral.